Molecule: small nucleolar RNA, 144 nt
Organism: Arvicanthis niloticus (Nile rat)
Lineage: Eukaryota; Metazoa; Chordata; Mammalia; Rodentia; Muridae
Product: small nucleolar RNA SNORA48
Source: RefSeq, a predicted model, not a curated record
ACCCCCGGGCAAUGGGCAAGGAGAUAUCUUGUUGUUAGUGGUGUUCUUAUAUCAGUCAGGGGCAGAGGAGACGGCAGUCCUUUGUUCAUCCUAGCUUGAUGCCUGGCUUGGUAUCCAAAGCUGUUUUAUGCCUAGGACUCAUAA